UACGUAGGGUGCAAGCGUUGUCCGGAAUUAUUGGGCGUAAAGAGCUCGUAGGCGGUCUGUCACGUCGGCUGUGAAAACCCGAGGCUCAACCUCGGGCCUGCAGUCGAUACGGGCAGACUAGAGUUCGGUAGGGGAGACUGGAAUUCCUGGUGUAGCGGUGAAAUGCGCAGAUAUCAGGAGGAACACCGGUGGCGAAGGCGGGUCUCUGGGCCGAAACUGUCGCUGAGGAGCGAAAGCGUGGGGAGCGAACAGG
This 253-nucleotide ribosomal RNA is filed under the name uncultured bacterium. RNAcentral describes it as "partial 16S ribosomal RNA". It matches the Rfam family "Bacterial small subunit ribosomal RNA", at positions 524 to 776 of the family's 1533-position model. The record is from RNAcentral.